CUCCCUGCUCCCAAGAAGAGCUCUCAAGGCUCAGUUGGCCGAGAGCAGCACUGUGACUCAGAUGAUGGCAAACCCCUGGUCCUCCUGGCUGGGCCCCAGCUCCAGUAUCUUUUUGGUGGAUAUGAUCCUGGGCUUUGUGUAUGAACUGGGGCUCUUCCUUCUGUUACUGCCCUACCUCCCAGGUGAACAAUCCUUACCACCAUCAAGGAAAGAAAAACAUCGGAAAGAUGAAUCUGUAACUGUGUAUUGCACAGCCAACAAUUUCUGAGCACAAGUGUUCCUUCAACUAAGUUUCCAGAGGCAAAGAGCUAUACAUGAGGGACACCACACCCAGCCCAGAAAACCGUACGUGUUCCAAGAGUCUAGGUGCAACCAAAACAACUUCCCAUGUGAGAUCCAGUGUAUUUAUGGAUCCUCAUAAUGUUAAUAAACAGUAUCAAUAGAAAAUUUUGUGGAAGUAUGGAAAAGAGGUAACAUAAUAAAAUCUAACUAAAAUGAAUAACAUACUGGACUUCACAAAUGAAAAAUAAUAUAACAGAUAUAAUUCAUAAAUAAAAAGUCAUUAAAGGAUAUUUGACAUAUAAAAAUGAAUUCAUCAUAAAUUAAAUUUAAAUUCUAGUUCUCAAAAAAGUGAGUUAUAUAGUUAGCAAUUCAAUAAAUUCAGACAAAUGUACAUUUUCUAAGAACCACGGAAAUCUAUAUGGUGAAAUCUAGAACUAUUUUGGGUGGACUAUCAUUUGAAUAAAAAAUUUUGACCACAGAGAACACUGAAUAAAACUACAAAAGAGGCAAUGAAUUAUAAAUUCUAGUUAAAAUAUAAACAGCAUAUUGGAAUUUGCAAUAUUAAAAUAGAUUAAGAAACAUAACUACUAUAUACAUAUAUAUUAAGGUGGAAAAAUUCAGCAUGAAAUCAAAGGUAAUACAGUUAAGAAUCCAAUAAAUUUAAGUAAAUUAUAAAACUGAAAUAUACGUUAGUACUGUAUAGUCAACUAAAGCCUAAAUAACAAAAGUGGAAUGCAAUAUACUAAAUAGUAUACAAAGGCUGUGCAAGAUAUCAUGAGAUGGAAAACUGUAUAGUAUUUAGAAUUCAGUAAAAGAAACAAAUAUAAAGUGGAACAUUUCUCCGCAAAUCACCAAGGCUAUUCACUGCCAAGGGGAAGGAUGUCAAUUACAACAAUAUGGAUGACAAUAAAAAGAAUGGAAAGGGGCAUUAGCAAGGGUUGGAGUGAGCUCAGUGGGGAGGAGUAAAGGAUUAAAGAGAACCAAGUUGCUUUGUCCAUGCAAAUACUCCUCAGAUGAAUGCAAACUUUAGGUACUGCAAAUACGUACUAAUAAAAUAAAAUUUGAAAAAGAAAACAGAAAGAAAAAAUAAAAUGAUAUGUACGCAUAUCUUUCAUUAACUAAAAAUUAAGUACAAAG
RNAcentral lists this long non-coding RNA (1419 nucleotides) under Chinchilla lanigera (long-tailed chinchilla). RNAcentral describes it as "lncRNA (ENSCLAG00000026776.1)". Lineage: Eukaryota; Metazoa; Chordata; Mammalia; Rodentia; Chinchillidae. The record is from RNAcentral.